RNAcentral lists this small RNA (298 nucleotides) under Arabidopsis thaliana (thale cress). RNAcentral's name for it is "ATSL258730". Lineage: Eukaryota; Viridiplantae; Streptophyta; Magnoliopsida; Brassicales; Brassicaceae. The record is from RNAcentral.
AGUAUCCUGAUCUUGAAAAAGCCUCUUAAUUAUGUUUCAUUCAAUCGCCAAAAAGUAAGGUCGGUUUGGUUUUACAGAGUUUGUCUUUUUCCUGCAAGGUUCAUCUUUCCGGGAAAAAAAAAGUAAGUUUUAUAUUUUUCUUAACUUCUUGUUAGACUAAGAAAACCAAAUUUUAAACUAACGAGUUAAUUUACAUAUACAUUUUUUGAGCCAUUUUAGCUAAUAAAUCCUAAACUUGAACUUAUUUACAAUAAUGCCAUUAGCAUUAAAUCUUUUUUCCAAACUAAUUAAUUUUACU